AGCUAGUUGGUAGGGUAGUGGCCUACCAAGGCAACGACGGGUAGGGGGUCUGAGAGGAUGGUCCCCCACACUGGAACUGAUACACGGUCCAGACGCCUACGGGUGGCAGCAGGGAGGAAUAUUGCACAAUGGGCGAAAGCCCGAUGCAGCAACGCCGCGUGGAGGAUGAAGGCCUUCGGGUUGUAAACUCCUUUUGAGGGAGACGAGAAAGGACGGUAUCCCUUGAAUAAGCCACAGCUAACUACGUGCCAGCAGCCGCGGUAAAACGUAGGUGGCGAGCGUUAUCCGGAUUCAUUGGGCGUAAAGAGCUUGUAGGUGGCUUCGUAAGUUGGACGUGAAAUCUCCGGGCUUAACUUGGAGGGGCCGUUCAAUACUGCGGGGCUUGAGGAUGUCAGAGGGAAGUGGAAUUCCUGGUGUAGCAGUGAGAUGCGUAGAUAUCAGGAGGAACACCCGUGGCGAAGGCGGCUUCCUGGGGCAUUCCUGACACUGAGAAGCGAAAGCUAGGGGAGCAAACGGGAUUAGAAACCCCGGUAGUCCUAGCUGUAAACGAUGGAUGCUAGGUGUUGGCAGAUCUAACCCUGCCUGUGCCGAAGCUAACGCGUUAAGCAUCCCGCCUGGGAACUACGAGCGCAAGCUUAAAACUCAAAGGAAUUGACGGGGACCCGCACAAGCAGCGGAGCGUGUGGUUUAAUUCGAUCUACACGAAGAACCUCACCCAGGUUUGACAUACAGGUGGUAGUGAAGCGAAAGCGGAACGACCCGCAAGGGAGCCUGUACAGGUGUUGCAUGGCUGUCGUCAGCUCGUGUCGUGAGAUGUUGGUUUAAGUACCCUAACGAGCGCAACCCUCGUUGCCAGUUACAAGUGUCUGGCGAGACUGCCGGCCGCAAGCCGGAGGAAGGCGGGGAUGACGUCAAGUCGGCAUGGCCUUUAUAUCUGGGGCUACACACACGCUACAAUGGGUAGUUACAAUGGGUUGCCAAACCGUGAGGCGGAGCCAAUCCCACAAAGCUAUCCUCAGUUCAGAUUGCAGGCUGCAACCCGCCUGCAUGAAGUCGGAGUUGCUAGUAAACGCGCGUCAGCUAUAGUGCGUUGAAUACGUUCCCGGGUCUUGUACACACCGCCCGUCACACUAUGGGAGCUGGCAACACCUGAAGCCAGUUGCGUAACCGCAAGGGGCGCGCUGCCAAAGGUGGGGCUGGUGACUGGAGUGAAGUCGUAACAAGGUAGCUGUACGGAUCGUGCGGCUGG
This 1249-nucleotide ribosomal RNA is filed under the name metagenome. Its description in RNAcentral is "bacterial SSU rRNA". It matches the Rfam family "Bacterial small subunit ribosomal RNA", at positions 243 to 1521 of the family's 1533-position model. The record is from RNAcentral.